RNAcentral lists this transfer RNA (84 nucleotides) under bacterium. RNAcentral's name for it is "tRNA-Leu". It matches the Rfam family "tRNA". From Rfam's summary of the family: Transfer RNA (tRNA) molecules are approximately 80 nucleotides in length. The record is from RNAcentral.
GGGCGGGUGGCGGAACUGGCAGACGCAACGGCCUUAGGAGCCGUUGGGAGAAAUCCCGUGAGAGUUCAAAUCUCUCCCCGCCCA